GACGAACGCUGGCGGCGUGCUUAACACAUGCAAGUCGAACGGGAGUAUCAAAGAAGCUUGCUUUUAAGAUACUUUAGUGGCGGACGGGUGAGUAACGCGUGAGGAGCUGUCCUAUGCAGGGGGACAACAGUUGGAAACGACUGCUAAUACCCCAUAAGCCGAGAGGUAAAAGGAUUUAUCCGGCAAAGGAGGUACUCGCGUCCUAUCCGCUAGUAGGUGGGGUAACGGCUCACCUAGGCGAAGACGGGUAGCCGGGCUGAGAGGGCGAACGGCCACACUGGAACUGGGAUACGGUCCAGACUCCUACGGGAGGCAGCAGUGGGGAAUAUUGGGCAAUGGGGGAAACCCUGACCCAGCGACGCCGCGUGGGUGAAGAAAUCCUUCGGGAUGUAAAGCCCUGUUGUAUGGGAAGAGCAGAAGACGGUACCAUACGAGGAAGCCCCGGCAAACUACGUGCCAGCAGCCGCAGUAA
This 472-nucleotide ribosomal RNA is filed under the name uncultured bacterium. RNAcentral's name for it is "partial 16S ribosomal RNA". It matches the Rfam family "Bacterial small subunit ribosomal RNA", at positions 28 to 523 of the family's 1533-position model. The record is from RNAcentral.